Molecule: long non-coding RNA, 220 nt
Filed under: Corvus moneduloides (New Caledonian crow)
Lineage: Eukaryota; Metazoa; Chordata; Aves; Passeriformes; Corvidae
Description: lncRNA (ENSCMUG00000017192.1)
Source: RNAcentral
UCGCAGAAUAUUGGAAAUUGACAUAUAUGAGAACUGAACAUUUUAGAGGGCAUGGUCUUGGUGUCUAAAAGCAAUGACCUCCUGAAGUACAGAGAGUCAAGAUGAAAAUGGACCUGUUUAUGAUGAUUUCCCUCUUCUUUUUGGCAGAUACAAAGGAUGGAGAGCCUUGCUGAUUUUGGUCCACAGCCUGGGGCGAAAUUUCAGUACUACUUAAAAAGAU